UACGUAGGCAGCGAGCGUUGUUCGGAAUCACUGGGCUUAAAGCGAGUGUAGGCGGGCCGUUAAGUGUCUUGUGAAAUCCCCCGGCUCAACCGGGGAAUUGCUGGGCAUACUGGCGGUCUUGAGCAGUUCAGGGGCAGAUGGAACAAGUGGUGGAGCGGUGAAAUGCGUAGAUAUCACUUGGAACGCCAACGGUGAAAACAGUCUGCUGGGAACUUGCUGACGCUGAGACACGAAAGCCAGGGGAGCGAACGGG
Molecule: ribosomal RNA, 253 nt
Filed under: uncultured bacterium
Lineage: Bacteria
Description: partial 16S ribosomal RNA
Rfam family: Bacterial small subunit ribosomal RNA
Source: RNAcentral